Long non-coding RNA from Asterias rubens (European starfish), 1435 nucleotides. RefSeq lists it as uncharacterized. NCBI's taxonomy places the organism in Eukaryota, Metazoa, Echinodermata, Asteroidea, Forcipulatida, Asteriidae. The transcript is spliced from 3 exons. The record is from RefSeq and is a predicted model, not a curated record.
GACGGUAAAGGACAAGACAUUAAGCUUUAUAAUUUUAAGCAGUGAUAUCCAACUUGUUUAUCGUUUUGUUUUCGUGAAUUAUUUGCGAAAGGCUAGUGAAAGGUAAUUUAAAUAAAAUCUUUAACAAAUAUCUUUUUAAUAAAAGAUAUUUCAAAUGAACACUAGCAUAGCUGUACAGCUAUGAACACCAGCCAACUGACGCUAUCGUCAUAUAUUAAAAUAAAAAAAUAAAAAAAGAUUAUUCAACACAUUGAGUCGGCAAGCAAAAUGAAGGACGUAAAAACGACAGAGACAACAUCAUUGGUUGGAAAGUGUGUUUGGUUCACCAAGGAUUUGUACAAAAAUCCUUUUAAGAGGUCGUUCAUCAAAAAUGCAUUUCUCUUCGCCUUUGGAGUAUGGUUUGCGAGAGAGUUCGCUGAAAUGGACAUAACGACACCAGCUGCUCCACCUAUAGCGUAAUUAAACUCUAACAGGAUACAGUGUACAGUGGUGAUGCAAUAUUCAGACUAAAGACCAUCAAUACUUGGAUCCAUCAAGAUACUCUUGCUCACUCCAACAGCUACUUUAUUACAAAAGCUCAGCUCCAUCCAGAAAUUUCCAGCAGUCUCUCAACAAGUAUUGCACAGCCCACACAGUCAUGGAAGAUUCCAGGCUGGAAGAUUCAACCUGCAACAUUGUUAUCAAUUGUUAUCAAUUGCAGAGACUACAACUACCCAUAGCUAAUUCAGUACCAACAUCAUUUGUUGCAGACCUGGAAUUUCAUCUUUGAAAGGGGCAUGGCCAAUUUCGCAAGGCAAAUUUAAUUUCCAAAGGGGCAUCAAGGCUAAGCAAGACCAUGAGCAAAUGGAGGCCAUGGCUUCUGCAGGCCUUUGUGUAAAUCCAGGCCUGUUAUUGUCCUCCGAAAUAAUAAACCAUGACUCUAUUACACCUCAAUCUGACUUUGCCUAAUAUCAGAGCUCAUUCAAUAGAACCCAACCUAGGUUUUAUCAAGUAAAGAAACUAUUCAGAAAUUUACCCAGUCAGUUUCCUUUGUGGUUUUUUACUUGAUAUUUGAAAUACAAAAGUCACAUCCCCCUCUUCAGGUGAUCCCUUUGCUGUCGCUUCUUAGGUUGUAUUGUAAAAUAGGGUGUGAUCCCUGGCUAUACAGCACUUACAGCCAUCUGACUGGCACCCCAAAAACAAAGAUAUUGACAAAAUAGGGUGACUGCCAUAGAUGUAUCAAUUGAAAAGUGCCAGCAUGUUAAUCUGAAGGUCGCAAGUUCAAGUCCCGCUCUAGUUUAUAUUUUGCUAUGUUCAAAAUGAGAAGGAGGUCAAGUUCAAUAGUUACAAAAAUUGUAUGUAAUUCAUUUUUUAAGUGACAUAAAAAGGGAGAUAUGCCUUUGUUGUAUGUAAAGACAAUGUAAUAAAGUUUAUGAAUAAAAUUCCUUAAAGAACA